This 338-nucleotide long non-coding RNA is filed under the name Manihot esculenta (cassava). RNAcentral describes it as "long non-coding RNA (MESC_LNC013175)". Lineage: Eukaryota; Viridiplantae; Streptophyta; Magnoliopsida; Malpighiales; Euphorbiaceae. The record is from RNAcentral.
UCCUUACAUAGUGCCAGGCCGUAGCAUGGGGUCCUGGUCUUCCUGCCAUGGACUAAUUGGGUCAUCCAAUAUUCACCCACAUCAACAACAAUCGAUGCAAUGCGGCAUAUUCGUGGAAACUAAUGCAAUCAUCCUAUUGCAUAACCAUGAUGCAUGAAACAUAAUAAAACAUUUAAUUUAAAGAAUUAAGUUUAGUUCCACUCACCUCUGGCAGACUCUGACAACACCGAAGCAGCUGAACUCACUGCUGGGGUCCUCGGUUCCUCGGGUCCGAACCUACACAGGUGGACUCAAAUGAGGGACCAAACAUACCUGAACAUAACUAUAAACUACUCCCC